CAGCAGCCGCGGUAAUACGGAGGGGGCGAGCGUUAUCCGGAAUUAUUGGGCGUAAAGGGUACGUAGGUGGCCUUUUAAGCGUAGGGUAUAAGGCAAUGGCUCAACCAUUGUUCGCCCUAUGAACUGGAAGGCUUGAGUGCAGGAGAGGAAAGCGGAAUUCCUAGUGUAGCGGUGGAAUGCAUAGAUAUUAGGAGGAACAUCAGCGGCGAAGGCGGCUUUCUGGACUGCAACUGACACUGAGGUACGAAAGCGUGGGGAGCAAACAGGAUUAGAUACCCCCGUAGUCCCUGUCUCUUAUACA
RNAcentral lists this ribosomal RNA (301 nucleotides) under uncultured bacterium. RNAcentral's name for it is "partial 16S ribosomal RNA". It matches the Rfam family "Bacterial small subunit ribosomal RNA", at positions 509 to 808 of the family's 1533-position model. The record is from RNAcentral.